CAACAUCAGCAAAAACAUGAACAAAAUGAAAAUCGAACAACAUUGUUUCAUAGUAGCAAUUAAUAAUUUAUACCACGCUGCAAGUAAACAAGGACUGCAACUGAUGAUUCCAUCAUUGAUUAACCUGCCGGUCACCAUUUGGUUUGUAAAAGUGCCAGAAAAUAUAGUGUCACAUGUCCAUCAAAGUGCCUUCCUCAGACUCUGGCUUUGUCCAGAUAAAUUCCCUCUACAGGAUAGAAAACAGAAGAAGCAAAUCCUGACAUGAGAGACACCAGAGCCGGAGAACUGCUGACAUCGUUUGGGGGGGAAAAAAUGACUUCAAAAAUGAUUAAUCUAUUAUCAAAAUAGAAGCCAGACGCCUGACAGUCCAAACCAGACCUGCAGGAAAAAAAACAAGAGACAGCGUGUCCCACGUGACGCACAUGGGGACGAGCUGGGAUCAGGCUUUUCCAGCGUGUGUGCACGCACGCACGCACACACACGCACUUAAAAACAGAUUUGAUGUUGGUGCAGGAAACAAAUAACUGGUAAAACCAGAAGUGAUCUGUUUGAGUGGAGCUGUGCAACGGCUCAGUAAUUUAAACUGAAUGUGUGUGUGUGUGUGUGUGUGUGUGUGUGUGCUGGUUAUUUCUCGGUCUUGAGACUGAGACUGCAUGUUCUUUGUUGGACCUUCACGAUUCCUGCUCAUUAAUGCAGCAAACACCUGCAGCCGUGGCCGAUCAUCGCCAUGCAGCCUGAGGGCGAACAAGGAGAGCUCUUAAAAAAUGGAAAUCUGGCUUCUUCCGAAGGGAUUUGUUUUUUAGAUUCAUGGUUUUCUAAGAAGCCAUAAACUCUUACCACAAACUGUUCAGUUGAGACGAACCUGCACGAAAUGAGCGCAAAUGAUGCCUCAGAAAUCCUGUUGUCAUAACAACUGGAGUGGGAGAACAUGGAUGUUUCCGGUUUAAGUCGAUUCGCACCUAAAAUUGUGUCCCAGUUACACGUUUAGACGCCGGCAGACGCGAGAGACACACGCCGGUGGAUUUUGCGCGCUAAAGUCGCCGCUUGACACGCACGUGACCACCGCAGGUUACAUCCGGCGAUCGAUCCGCACUCACUUGGACGACGAUGAGUCUUUACAGCAGUCGAAUCGGAGCGCUGCGAAGAUCCUCCACAGCAGGUCCAUGCCGCCUCCUCUCAUGGUCCCACCCGGGGAGCAUCGGCCGCUCUGCCCAGCGGCAUCUUCUAGUGCCCAGUUAUUAUUUCCUUCUUCUUCAGAACACGACACGGCUCAGAUCUCUGCGGGGUUUUAAAACAAUCAGGAAGAAACGACGACCCCCCCACCCCCGAAAAAAAGGGACCCUGCACCGCCCCGCUCCAACGCGCGUGUUCAAAUGGAAGGAUGGGCCAUCAUCGUCAUCGUCAUCAUCAUCAUCACGGUGCGCAGACGUCUGAACGGAGCAGCUCCGAGUGAACGCGGAGAGGCGCAGCUGAGGUGAAUCUCGAUCAUCAUUUAGAGCGAGAGAGAGAGACACGUGACCACGAGGAGGGCGGCGCUAAUGGCCUCAAAGUACCUAAAAUAUGAACACGUGGUACCGAAAAGAAGCGGUGGACUUUUCCCCUGGAAGAAGUACUUAAAGUAGCAACCAGAUGGCGACAAUCAUCAAACUUUUGAUCAUUCUCUUUUUUUUUUUUAGUAAGUUAAUUUCCACCAUUAAACAACAACGUACCACAAACUGAUUGUUAACACAUUACAUCCAAAACCUCUAAAUAUCAGAAUAGUAUUGCUUGUAAGAUGUAAAGGAUUUGAUGCCUUGUGAAGAUAAUUGUGUAAUAAUUGCAUCAUGGGUAAUACUGAGACAUUAAAACAAUGGACACAGGCCUAGUUAAAGCCUUAAUUGAGCCGCACCCGUCACCCGUGAGGCGUCUGUUUGCCGCUGUGAUUCAUGGCGCUACGCUCACAGCAGCAGAUAAGGGCUGGUGCAGCCGUUAAACCAGCCCCGGGUAAUAUGACCCUGUCUGCAGAGGCAAGUCGACCAGGUGGAACCGUGCUUUUGUGUUCAGGCAGGUAAAGAUAUCGACAAACAAAGUCGACAGCCACACACACACACACACACUGUGUGGAGCUGCAGUUUGGCCUCUGCAGGUUUAUUUUGGUUUGUGGAGAGGAUAAUGUGGAAGGCCAGAGGCAAACAGUGUUCAUCUGCUUGUCGCACUACAAACAGGUUCUCUUUGCUACGGGGAAAAUGUCACGAUAGAAGAGAUUUCAAAGUUCUUUUUAAGCUCAUGUUUUAAGAACAAAUGCACUUUACUAAGGUUGGUCACCGUAGGGCUCAACGGGCUUAAAUCCCUCCACUGUAUGGACAGGCCUUUUAUUGCCUCUAUUAGACUGAACAGAGAAUUUUUUUUUUAAAUAAAAAUUG
Molecule: long non-coding RNA, 2402 nt
Organism: Gasterosteus aculeatus aculeatus (three-spined stickleback)
Lineage: Eukaryota; Metazoa; Chordata; Actinopteri; Perciformes; Gasterosteidae
Source: Ensembl